AUCGACGGGUAGCUGGUCUGAGAGGACGAUCAGCCACACUGGGACUGAGACACGGCCCAGACUCCUACGGGAGGCAGCAGUGGGGAAUCUUGCGCAAUGGGCGAAAGCCUGACGCAGCGAUGCCGCGUGGGGGAUGAAGGCUCUCGGGUCGUAAACCCCUUUCAGCAGGGACGAAAAUGACGGUACCUGCAGAAGAAGCCCCGGCCAACUACGUGCCAGCAGCCGCGGUAACACGUAGGGGGCGAGCGUUGUCCGGAUUUAUUGGGCGUAAAGAGCUCGUAGGCUGUUCAGUAAGUCAGGUGUGAAAACCCAAGGCUCAACCUUGGGACGCCACUUGAUACUGCUGUGACUAGAGUCCGGUAGAGGAGAUUGGAAUUCCUGGUGUAGCGGUGAAAUGCGCGGAUAUCAGGAGGAACACCAACGGCGAAGGCAGAUCUCUGGGCCGGUACUGACGCUGAGGAGCGAAAGCGUGGGGAGCGAACAGGAUUAGAUACCCUGGUAGUCCACGCCGUAAACGUUGGGCACUAGGUGUGGG
Molecule: ribosomal RNA, 535 nt
Filed under: uncultured Actinomycetes bacterium
Lineage: Bacteria; Bacillati; Actinomycetota; Actinomycetes
Description: bacterial SSU rRNA
Rfam family: Bacterial small subunit ribosomal RNA
Source: RNAcentral